Non-coding RNA from Megalopta genalis, 3630 nucleotides. The record is from RefSeq and is a predicted model, not a curated record. NCBI's taxonomy places the organism in Eukaryota, Metazoa, Arthropoda, Insecta, Hymenoptera, Halictidae.
UUAAUGUUUAUCUACGUAAUGUUCCUUGGUAUACCAUUGUAACUAUCCAUUCAUGACAAAUGAUGUGUAAGUAAAAUGCAGAACAGUAGUCAGCUGAAAGCAUGUCAUCGUUAACUGAUAAGAAUUAUUCAAGAAAGAAACAAAUUUUGUGCUAGCAUCUUGCCAAUGCCGCAGAAAGCUUUAGACAAUGUAGCAGUUACGGCAAAUGCCGAUUGACGUUCCCAGCAUUUUUAAGGAUUCCGCUACUCACAGGAAGUUCGCUUAAUUACGAGAAACGUUACAUCAGAUCGGAUUGAAGCCUACUCGCCUCUCUUUCAUUGUUAAUUUCCAUAUGUAUUAACGCUAUGCAUAAAAGUAUUCACAUCCAGAAGCAGGUUUCAUUCACGACGAUUCCGAUCGUCAUACCGAAGACGGUGAAAUAUCACGGCCAAUCGGUUGGCACCGAUCGUCGCGACCUUCACAGCCAAGAAGACCGGCCUCGUCCUAUCCCUAUCCUCCUCUCUCCCCCGAUUUCGCGAUGAAGAUACGCUGAAUUAGGUGAGCACGCGUCGGCAGUCGAGCCCAUUACGCGUUGCAUUGUUGCAUCCGUUUAGGCGAGGCUCGGGUCGCGUAGCCCACGCGCCGUCCCCGGGCCGAGAUUGUCGUCUGGAAUGACGGUGUCAUUGUAGUCGGAUAUACGCGUGUGUUACGGUGGCAGCAGGCCUCGCAAUGGAUCACCGACCGUGCCACGGAUCGUUUGGAAUAUCAUUGUUGGGCGUUGCGUGCACUUUCGAAGGUGACAAAGGUGACCGGCGACGCGAUUGUUCGAAUAAUUGUUCCUCGGUUCCGUAAAAUUCUCCGGGGGACGACUUUAAUGCCACGCCUCGUUUACGAGAGCACAUCGAGCUUUUGCACCCCGUCACGGUUCAGGAGAUUGCGGGCGCAGCCCCGCCCUUACCCCCAAUAAGUUCACCGACCCACGUGCUCGCUGGUGCCGUCUAUAAAAGCUCACUUAGCAUCAGCUUGAACGGCAAUGUUCGUCCGUAAUGGCUGAUGGAAAGUCGCUGCUCGGGAUCACGGUGGCUUCCGUUUGCUCAGCGUGGCCUCUCCGCGAUUACCACCCGAUCGGUUAGGGUUGGUAGCGACCGGAGGCUACGAACGCGCAGAUAUCGCCGGAUCGCGCUGCCGAGAUUUAAUUGGAGCCAUCUUCGAAUGGAUUGCCCCGGCCCCCAAUGGCGUUUAUCAUGGAAGAUGCCGCCAUCAUAGAUCUCGCUCUCGAAUCCAUGAAUGCCUGGUACUCGAUAGUCGCAUCGGUUCCCGAGGCGAGUCACGGGUCGAGCGUCGGCGGCCAUCGUCCACGGUAGCUCCAGCUCCCCGUCGAAGGAUCCAUCGAACGACCUUCCUCGAUCUCCGGCAACUCGCGAGGCAUUAACGAUCCAGCCAUAACCGUAUCUACCUCGUUAUCGGCCGCACCUCCUGUCAUUCUCGUUCGAAAUAGCACAGGGGUUCGCGAGGAACGCGAAAACAAUCUAACUUACGUGCUUUAUGCUCAACGAGAUUGUUACAGUAGGUAUGUUCCCGGUAGUCAACAACCUGUCACUGUUACGAUUUCGACCCAUGAUCAUUUGAAUGAUUUAUCACGAUUGCGCUAGCGCUCCGCGGAUUUCGUUCGGUCUUCAGCCUGUUUCAAGGAUCUUGUAAAAAUUUACUGCUAUUAGAACCAUAUAGAGAAUUCUACAUCAACAUUAAGUGCUCUUGGGCUUACGAACUUCAGCGAUUACAUGGGGAAUGUCUUGUAUGACGGAUUGUUAGAAAGAAAAAAGUUAUUGACAAUUAUGCUAUUGAACUCGAAAUCGUGACAAGCACGUUAGAUUACAAUAGUUGAAAAGUAUUUUAAUUUAAUCACUCUAAAUAGAACGCGUAUAUAUAAUAAUAUGUAUAAUAUAUACGCUAUGAUAUUGUAAUGUAUACAUAUAUAAUAUUCACAGAAAUGGUUGUGGAACAGAGUUAUGAAAUAAUUGAAAGCUUGAAUCAGAACAAAAUAUUAAGUUGUCUACUAAAUUAGUGCACUUCUCAUUCGCAAGUUCGAUUCUGUAAAACAUUACGCAUUUUUUAAAACAUUCGAUUUAGACAAACUAGAUUUCAUAAAUAUAAUUCUUUAUAAUAUGGAAUGAGAAAGUUUCCAGCGCCAUUCAAGAAAUGCUAGGACCGAUGGUUUGUUUUCAAUGGCAAAAACAUUUCUAAAAAUACAGUUCCACGUUAAUAAAAAAUUAUGGGUUCUUAUUGGACAAGCUACUGCAAGAUAUUUGGAAUGUUUCUCACAUAUUACCUAACUAAUUAUGGUUCAUUUUUUAUCUAAUCUUCGGCAACUCAGUGUUAAUAACAAGUGAAAGAAAAUCGGACUUUAGGUAUUAACAAAUAAUUGAUGGCCAACGUUCUUGUUGGUUGAAUUACAUUUUAUGCAAUGAAUUCUUUAUUGCACUUAAAUUCUGACUCGACGAAUCUUUUAACAGAAAUAAAUUCGUAACUGAUUCUCGAUUGUAUAAAAUGAUUUGAAAAGGGCAAUAUAUUUGUAUAAAGUCUUAGAUUUGAUGAGAAAAUAGCGGAAACGUACACCAGUCCCAUAAAUGUAUCUACGCGACACGUUUUUUCCGAAUGUUGAGUUGUAAGCUAAAUUCGAAUUCGAUCUAGCUCAUAAAAUUUAAACCACAUUGAGGCGUUCCAAGAAAGUUACUGGGGAACGAGCAAUAACUCUGAACGAAUCUCUCGCUCGUUGCGUUUAACUCGAUGCAUUUAAGCAGAGCACCGAAGACAAAGCAAAUGAAGAGUAACGAACUUCUGGGCCAUUUACAUCGAAAAUCUACCUCACCCGCUCUUAGAAUAGAACGAGUCCCUUAUUUCCUAACAAUUAUACGCGAGCGCAUUGUUAAAGGACCCCAGCAGAGCGCGCGCCAUGAUUGUCCGCAUCGAAAUAAAUAACACAUUUACAUUUUGCAUAAUUGAAAAUCCAGCAAUCCUGCAAUGGAUCAAAAAUAAUCUUGGUACUGAAAGCGUCUAUACAUAGUAUACGUUCCGCAAGAUAUUAUAAUAACGCCGUGAAUACAUCAACGGGAUACGUAACGUAUAAAAUGAAGACAACAAUCAUGUACAUAAAUAUUCACGUUUUUGUAAGUAGUUAUAUUUUGUAUUGUAAAAUAGUUGCCUUUUUCUGACAAUAGAAAAGGAAACGGAAACGUGUACAGUAUUUUUUUCUUCAAUAGUCUUACCAACUAUUUCCAUUAUCGAUUAUAGUUGCAAGCGUUUAUGGAAGAAAACUGUGUAAUUUAUGUUGCAAUACAUCGUAGCUAACAAUGUUGAAAUAGCAAAUCUGCCGAAUCUACAAAUUAUUUAUAUUUAUAUCUUGUAAAAAUAUUUUAGUCACUGCUACAUACUCAGUUCGAUAGAAAAGUUUGGGCAAAAUGAAAAAAUUUGCAUACCUUGCAUAUGGAAAGUGUGUUAACCCUUCAGUGUGUAACCCUUCGCUACGGGUCAUUUAGGGUUAGACGACUUUGUUUAACUCUUAAUUGGUACAAUAAUUUUUACAAAUAUAACUGAUCUGCUGGGAUCAUGAUAGACCUCAAAUAAAGAUGAUGAGAAAAUGUGUUAAUCUAA